This 3024-nucleotide unclassified non-coding RNA is filed under the name Hevea brasiliensis (rubber tree). Lineage: Eukaryota; Viridiplantae; Streptophyta; Magnoliopsida; Malpighiales; Euphorbiaceae. The record is from RNAcentral.
GCCAGAUAACAAUUCAUUAAAGAACCAAAUAGGCAACUGAUUUAUGCACAUCAGCACAACGCAAAUGCAAAAGAAGUUCAUUUAGUUGUUUGAUCAAAUUAUAAAGUUAAGUACUUUUCCAUAUACAAUUAUGUAGAAACACAAUGUAGUAGCAAAUUCUAAAAAGUUAGAAGCUAGUUAGAAGGGGGGAUUGAAAAAGAAACAAAAAUAUAUGCAAACCUACACAAACAACCAACAUGAACACCACAGAAGAUUUUUGCCUCUAAGAGUAAUGGAUAUUCAACUAAUACUGAACAGGGGUAAGAUUCAUAUCAUGAAUUAUAUGUAUCCCAGUCAAACCUGGGUUGUGAGAAAAGCUCAUAGUCAAUGGGUCCAUCUACAAUACUAUCAACGGUCUGGAUGCCUUCCAAAAGAGCUGAUUGAAAACCAUCAUUAUCAGAAGGCAAUAAUUUGUACAUUACUAACAAUCCAAGAGUGAAAAUGGCCUGCAACUUCGUGGAGUCUCCAUGGACUGAAAAGAAUAAAAGCAUUGAAAGAAGGAAUAAAUCAACACAGAACCGCAUGAUACACAGUACUGUGUCCAUCAACCUCCCAUCGUUGCCUGCGGGAAAUCCCCGGACUCUAUAUAUAAAAAGAAAGUUGUACUUGUCAACCACAUAUCUAUACCCAAAAUAAACUGCACCAACAGGGACCACAAGUGGAGCAAAUGACGAAUAUAUCAUGGUCAGGGCAAAUAUUGUCAAAUUAAAUGCAUAAUAUUGUGCAAAAUCAAAUUUCUGCUUGGGAAUGGGAGAGGUUCUGCUGAUUGGAUAUUCAGAAAGAUUUUGUCCCUCUGGAUCAAUUCCAUUAAAUCUGGGGGAGUCAAACACAUUCUCAUGCAUCAGUGGUCUCUGAAGACUGUUUAUCAUCUGAUUUUCCAGGGGGUACUCUUCGCUUUGCUCUGGCACUAACUGGAGCAUGUCAUUCUUCCGAAAUUUCUUGAUCUUUUUCUUUAUCCAAGGGAUUGGAGCCAAUAGAUCAAAAGAUAUUCCCAAGAAGGUGCUUGUGAUUAAAAAUGCAAGAGAAGAAAGGCAUGAUCUUGACAAGAAUGAUGCACUCAUAUAUUGCUCAAUCCUCUUGCAAUCCUCUCCAUCCAAAUAACACCUACCCAUCUUCAAGAUUGCACUUUCCAAAGAAGACUCAACCAGAGCUCUCAAUAGAAUAAGAUUUACAAGGAAGAAGCAAACCAUCUUUAGAAGUGCAGCUCUUUGCUCCCCAGACACAGUCAGAUGACGUUCAAACUUGGAAAGAUAAGAAAGAGCUGAAGGAACUACUAUAUACAUGCUCACAAAUAUUAUGACAUUAGGCAAGAACUGGAAAAUCAGAGAUGCAAACCAGCUGGAACUUUGCACCCAGGCCAACCAUGAUUGAGCAUUAUCCAUUGCUUCGGCAUUAAUGAUCCGGCCAGCACUCGUCAGGGCAGUUAUAACCGCAAGGGGAGAGCUAAAGAACAAAAGCAUCAACAGUAAGCAUGUGUUUACAAAUGAUCUCCGAAGCUUCAGUGACAGCUUUGUCGAACCCAAAUGGUUCCAGUAAAUAUCUGUUGCCAGUGGGGCUCGUUCGACUUUCCAUUGGUUCCUUUGCAGCCGCAACUCCAUAAUAGAGAAGAACUUACCAAAACGCCUCAUCUUCUCAUUGCGGAAGUCCUGAACAGCUUUAUUAGCUGUAUAAACAUCUUUAAAAAUCACAAAUGCAACUCCUGCACUUGGUGCACGGCCUUCUUUGUAUGCUGCCAAAUCGGACUCUAAUUCUGCUCUCAUUUCUUGUAAUUUCCUCAACUUCUCUUCAUCUGUGUAACCCAAUCCAUCCAUCAUCUGAUCCCACAUAAUUUUCACUCUUCCACACAAAUAAAUCACCCAGCCCCUUAAUCUCUCCACAAAACCCUCUCCCAUAAUGUCAUUAUCAUUCUCUUCAGGCAAAAGUCUAGAGUCAAUUCGAGCAACUAACCAAGUAAUUUCAUCCCUCACCCUAAUCAACUCAGAGGCUAAAUCAUCCAAUGUACACAAAUCCAUAGGAACAAUAACCUUAUAAACCUUACCAGGAUACCUAUGUUGAAAAUACUCGAGCAGUACAACCCUAUCAUCCCCCAAACUCUUAGGCAAUCCCUGUACCAUGAUAGUAAAAAUAGCAGUAGAAUUCGCAUUUGGGUCACUCAAAUUCCCAUUUCCAUCCCUAAAUCUAGUUAUUUUCAGCCUCUCUUCAAUGACAGACAUACCGAAAUGCACUAAUACAACGACAAUAACAACAAACAGAAAAUGAAUCCACAGAUAACCCGAACCUUUUUCGAUAUGAUUUAUCGUCGUCUUGGAGAAUUGGUCAUCAAGUACGGCAGUUCCAGCGUAGAGAUUCAAUGGAAGAAGAAUACAAAUUGAUAAAACCGCAAUGGCAAAGAGCGCAACAAAACUUCCGCCUUCAAUUAUGAGGAACUGGGCAGCGUCGGCUCCACAGUGACGGGCGAUCUCUCUCCCAGUUGCAUGCCAGACGGCGAGAAGCUUAGCAGCGAGUGCAGAGGGACCAGGAAUUCGACGGUGGUCGCUGCGAAGCUUGACGAAAAUAAAAAUGAAGACACAGAAGAACAAACCGAUGGCAGAAAUAUUGAGAAGGUACUGGAUGUUGCCGUACCAAGCGCCAGGGAAAUCAGUAUCAGAGUCGCCGGAGGGGGAGGAAGAAGGAGGAGGAGAGAGAGAGCGGUUCAUCGGAGAGAUUGGGGAGAUGAAGAGAGGUGGGUCCAUAGGGAAAUUCGAAUCGUAAUCUAGGGUUUAUGAGAAAAUUCGGAAGGUUUCCUUCAUGAGGUGGAUAUACAAGAAAGAAGAGUAAAAGAGAAUAGAGAGGCAAAGAAAAUACGAAAUGUCAGAUGAUUUUUCUUUUUCUUCUCCUCCUCUUGUCUAUUUGUUCUUUGGACAGAGAGAAGGGGAGAAGUGUUUGGAAGGGAGGCUAACGAGACAAAGGAAGGCGACACAAUUGUAGUGGCUCGCUGUCGCUGAC